This 420-nucleotide ribosomal RNA is filed under the name Lysinibacillus sp. Its description in RNAcentral is "bacterial SSU rRNA". It matches the Rfam family "Bacterial small subunit ribosomal RNA", at positions 428 to 839 of the family's 1533-position model. Lineage: Bacteria; Bacillati; Bacillota; Bacilli; Caryophanales; Bacillaceae. The record is from RNAcentral.
AAACUCUGUUGUAAGGGAAGAACAAGUACAGUAGUAACUGGCUGUACCUUGACGGUACCUUAUUAGAAAGCCACGGCUAACUACUUGCCAGCAACCGCGGUAAUACGUAGGUGGCAAGCGUUGUCCGGAAUUAUUGGGCGUAAAGCGCGCGCAUGCGGUUCUUUAAGUCUGAUGUGAAAGCCCACGGCUCAACCGUGGAUGGUCAUUGGAAACUGGGGGACUUGAGUGCAGAAGAGGAAAGUGGAAUUCCAAGUGUAGCGGUGAAAUGCGUAGAGAUUUGGAGGAACACCAGUGGCGAAGGCGACUUUCUGGUCUGUAACUGACGCUGAGGCGCGAAAGCGUGGGGAGCAAACAGGAUUAGAUACCCUGGUAGUCCACGCCGUAAACGAUGAGUGCUAAGUGUUAGGGGGUUUCCGCCCC